RNAcentral lists this transfer RNA (69 nucleotides) under Eozapus setchuanus (Chinese jumping mouse). RNAcentral describes it as "tRNA-Gly". It matches the Rfam family "tRNA". Rfam says of the family: Transfer RNA (tRNA) molecules are approximately 80 nucleotides in length. Their secondary structure includes four short double-helical elements and three loops (D, anti-codon, and T loops). Further hydrogen bonds mediate the characteristic L-shaped molecular structure. tRNAs have two regions of fundamental functional importance: the anti-codon, which is responsible for specific mRNA codon recognition, and the 3' end, to which the tRNAs corresponding amino acid is attached (by aminoacyl-tRNA synthetases). tRNAs cope with the degeneracy of the genetic code in two manners: having more than one tRNA (with a specific anti-codon) for a particular amino acid; and 'wobble' base-pairing, i.e. permitting non-standard base-pairing at the 3rd anti-codon position. The record is from RNAcentral. Lineage: Eukaryota; Metazoa; Chordata; Mammalia; Rodentia; Dipodidae.
ACCCUUUUAGUAUAAUUAAUACAAUUGACUUCCAAUCAAUUAAUCUUGGCCCUAUCCAAGAAAGAGUAA